RNAcentral lists this ribosomal RNA (504 nucleotides) under uncultured bacterium. Its description in RNAcentral is "bacterial SSU rRNA". It matches the Rfam family "Bacterial small subunit ribosomal RNA", at positions 8 to 507 of the family's 1533-position model. The record is from RNAcentral.
AGAGUUUGAUCCUGGCUCAGAUUAAACGCUGGCGGCAUGCCUUACACAUGCAAGUCGAACGGCAGCACGGGGGCAACCCUGGUGGCGAGUGGCGGACGGGUGAGUAAAGCAUCGGAACAUAUCCUGGAGUGGGGGAUAACGUAGCGAAAGUUACGCUAAUACCGCAUAUUCUGUGAGCAGGAAAGCAGGGGAUCGCAAGACCUUGCGCUCUGGGAGCGGCCGAUGUCGGAUUAGCUAGUUGGUGGGGUAAAGGCCUACCAAGGCGACGAUCCGUAGCGGGUCUGAGAGGAUGAUCCGCCACACUGGGACUGAGACACGGCCCAGACUCCUACGGGAGGCAGCAGUGGGGAAUUUUGGACAAUGGGCGGAAGCCUGAUCCAGCCAUGCCGCGUGAGUGAAGAAGGCCUUCGGGUUGUAAAGCUCUUUCGGCGGGGAAGAAAUUGCACGGGUUAAUACCCUGUGUAGAUGACGGUACCCGAAUAAGAAGCACCGGCUAACUACGUG